AGACAUUAUUGUCACUCCAAGCCAUCAAACCUCCAUCCCAUACACCAUUGUCCACUCUGCCAGGCACACCAAGUGAUGAGGUGACAAAGGCCAGCAUCCCAAGGGAGUUACCAACCUGAUGUCACAAGCAGCUGAGAAACACGCACUCCCGCGGACUGUGCCUCCAAACAGUUACAGGGCGUGGAUAAAAUUCUGGGGAGCAGAGAGGACAUUUCUGCGGGCACUGCUAAGCUCUGAGAACCUGGAAGGGUAAAAAGCAGAGUCCCCAGUCACAAAGAGUCCCAGCAGUUGGUUUUUAAGACAAUGAAGGCUGGGUACAACAGACUUUAGCAAAGGAGAGAAAGUUUGCAAGAGAAGAAGUGAUGCAGUGAAAAGGCAGGGCGGAAAGAACCUAGGCCUAGAAAGCAGAGUCAUGUCAAAAUGGCGCCUGACUGAAUAAGCAUCCAGGAAAGGCGAUGCAAGGAGAAUAAAGAGCUCUCCUGUCAUAAAAGGAAAUGUUUUUUGUAACUCAGGGUACAAGGUCGGGAGACCUGGGAUUUUUGAUCCCCUGGUUUUGAAGACAAGCCGAGGCCCCCAUUCAAGGGAAGAGGCAGGCUGGGCCUCCUUAGUACCUGGAUCCCGAGGAGGCCCCACAGGCCCUGUGGAAGACGUGGAGGCCCGCCACCGUCCUUGAGGAGGUCCCAGUGCUAAUAAAGACACAACACAGACUGGCACCCUGUCAUGGGAAGUGACUGGAAGUCAGGCACUCUGGCUGAGAGGCCUUGAGGCAACAAUCAUGUAAGACACCUUUUAUGACUUCUUGUGGGUCUGUCUUCCUUGCCAGACAUGGGCUUCUCAAGGACAGAGAACACACCUUUUUUAAUCUCUGAAUUUUCAGGGCCUAGCCCCUGUGGGCACAUGAGAAUAUUCAAUGUUCAAUAUAUGAAUUUCCUCAGGAUUUUCAUGUAAUGUACACAUUCAACCCUCACAAGAUGGGUUUUAAAAAUUCCAUUGGAAAGUGGAGAACCGGAGAGGCUUGGAGAGAUGAAAUGCCUUUUCUAAGAUGACACAGCUAGGAAAUAGCAAAGCCCUGUGUGACCCAUCUUCCCAGCAACCUCACCGUUCACCUCCCUCCACCCCCACAACUGCCCCGUGGCAUUCCAACCACGGACGGUGCGAGAUAGGCCCUCAACGCCCUGUCCUCGUCCUGCCUCGUCUUCGCACACUCAGCAAGCAAGAGUACGAGAAGCUUCUGUGUACGAGAGACUGAGCGAGGCACCGCACAUACUGCUGUGAAUCAAAGUCCCUGCUUGCAGGGAGCUUGCAUUCCAGAAAGGAGACGGAGAGUGAGCAAGAAAGGACAUACGUGAACCUCAGCACGUAUGACAUGAGCUACAAAGAAAACCACUCUCAGUCAUGAUCGAGUGUCACAGGGGAAGACAGUGCGACUAGGGAUGAGCUGGAUACUCAGCAGAAACAGGGAAGGGGUCCUAGGGAAGGGGCAUGGGCAGUCUGGAGCCCCGAAACAGGGCCUCUGGAAGAUGAGCUCCCCACACUUUCAGCCCCUCCAGAGAAGAAGGAUGGUCCUGUGCUGCCACUCAACCCCCCAGCACAGGGACAGGAGUAUAGUAGUUAUGAGGCUACUUUAGUGGUUCAGGUAGAUACCAGUGGCUUGGAUCAGGAAGGUAGUGGUGGGAAUAGAGAAGGUUAAAAGGAUCUGGGGGGACACAUUUUGGCAGUAGAGUCAAGGGGGGAUUGCUAAUGGGGUAUAUUUGCUCAUUAUUGUCACUCUGCCCAGUAACCUUCUCCCCUACUGGUCCUCAGGUGUCACUGUUGUUUUUAACAACUUUAUUGAGAUUGAAUUCAUAUACCAUACAAUUCACCUAUGUGAGUGUAUAAUUCAAGGGCUUUUCGUAUACUCACCAAGUUGUGCAAUGAUUACAGAAUCAAUUUCAAAGCACCACCUGAAUAGGAAACCCUGUGGCCCUCAGCCAUAACCCCUCAAUGCUCCCAUUUCCACCAGAUCUAGGCAAACAGUAACCUACUCCCUGUCUCUACAGAUUUGCCUAUGCUAGAUAUUUCACCCAAAGGAAAUCAUACAAUAUUUGAUCCUUUGUGACCGCCUUCUUUCACUCAGCAUAACGUCCUCAAGCUUCAUGCACGUUGUAGUAUGCAUCAGUACUUUUUUCCUCUUUAACGUCAAAUAACAUUCCAGGGUACGGACACCACAUUUAAUUUAUCCAUUCAUCACAGGAGGGACAUUUGAGCUGUUUUCAUUUUGCAGCUAUAAUGAGUAAUACUGUUCUGAACAUUCACGUACAAGUUGUGUGUGUGUGUAUGUGUGUGUGUGUGUGUGAACCUGUAUUUUCAUUUCUCUUGGGUGCCGACCGAGGAGUGGAAUUGCUGGGUCACGUGGUAACUCUGUGUUUCACCUUCGGAGGAAAUGCCAGACUGUCCUCCAACGUGGCUGCGCUGUUUUACGUUCCCACCAGCAGUGUGUGAGUGUUCUCUGGUGUCACUUUAAAGCAUUUCCCCACCUCUUUUUCCUGGAGUGUCACCCAGGAGGCGUUAGAUGCUUCUUCCAUUCUCACCAAUACUCUGUGCAAAUCCCGAUGGCACUUCUUUGCAUGCUGUGCUGUCUUCACUAAUUUUCUUAGCUCUCUGUGGCCGUCUUUAACAGGGACUGUCUCUUUCACCUCUUCAUUCCCAACGUCUAAUUCCUGGCACAUGGCUGGUUUCCAGCCUCCUCCACGACUGGGUCAAAGAGGCAGUCCGGAUUCAUUGGAACACUCCCAGAUAAUUUGGAGCCAGUCAACAACAGGUCUGAAGUCUUCAGGGACACUGAAAAAAGAUCAAAGCAAAAUCUGAAAGCAAGCUGCUACAGAGCUGAGGCUACAGGGAAAAGAUUAUCUGCUUCUAUAGCUGCCUUCCGACAGAUGUUAUAAAUGAGUAAUUUAUAAAUGUGCAAUUUACAGGAUAUCUACAACAGUGCCCAGAAUGCUGAUUCAGGGAGAACAGGGUGAAACAAUUUGAGCACACAGAGACCCAACUAAGCGCCUAUGGACAUCAUGAAGAAAGGCUAGAGGACCAGACCUGGAGCCCAUGUUGUCUGAACCUGAAGUUCCUGAUCGUCAUCAUUGUAGUAUUCUGAGUCUCUUAAUGGCUGCAAUUUAAUCAACUUUUUCUCUUAGAAUUAAGUUUCUAGAUAAUAAAAAUGUCUGUCUGAAAAAAGUUCAGACGUAUUUUAGGACUAUUUACAAGUGCCAUAAGAGCCCAGCUGGUCCCACACUGGGGCUCCUUAUCCAACAUGGCACAUAACUGAUCUGUUAGCACCCCAAGUUUCAGAUGCCAACCAACUUGGCAGCCACCAUGUUGCUAAUUUGUUCGUUUCCAAUGAGACAACAGCUGUCAAGUGGAUGUGAUAGGGAUGUUUGGGGAUCAAGCCAUUCUCUCUCUGCAGACAAAUCCACACAGGGAGUAAGACCAUGAGCAGAAGUUGACUUGCCAAAGAUCAAAUGUGGCGAAGGGUGAGUAUAAAGAUGAUAAUGGCUGAUGCUCCUGAUUCCUCGGGGACAGGGGCUGGGGGUGGAGUGUCUCUCCUGCACAACGGACCUGGACAGGCACUGCCUCUCUUCACCCUCUUUCUGCAAAGCCUUUUCUUCCUUUGCCUGCAUCGGUGCCUACAGUCCAUUCAUCAUUGUCUUGGCCUAGAAAACAUUUUAUUUCUAAGAUGACUUUGCACUUUUUCACACUGACCUAAGUCAGUGUUAUAGCUUAACCCAGAGGACGACCUUACCGAUUUUGAAUCCUUGCGAGGCACCUUGUGGACCCUGUAUUCUAUCUACAAGAGAGGACUGGUUGAUCCAAAAUGGGAUGGGAAAGAGGGGCAGUGGAAAGCUCUCAGCUGGUGAUCGGAGCGCCUUCUCAUACUCCAUCCCAAGCCUUACGUGAGCAAGGGGAAAAAUGUUUCUUUCCCUUUCCCCUGUUUUCCCUUCAGAGCUUUCAGUAUGACACCAGCAAUAAGGCAUCCUGUACUCAUAAUUCUGUCUUAACUCAUCAUUUACGACAGCUGAUCUUACAACCUUCCCUGCUUGUAUCAUAACGAAGAGAAAAAUUGAUAGGCAGUUAGGGCAAAGGUUUUGCCAACUGCUAUUGCUUUUACCCCAGGAUUGCCUGGAAGCAUGCUUUUUCCUUUCACUUCUCUCCCUAACCCAUCACGUGAGUUAAAAGCCAUAGGAAACCUGGCAGAAACAUCUCAGGUAAGGUUCUGAUUUUCAGGAAGUCCCAGAGCCCUGUCUUUGGGAUAGCCUUGGGGUAAGUGUUCUCUGUCCCAUUGUGAUCAGGGAACAUUUUCUUGGUAAUGGCAAUGCAUGGAGAAACAAAAUCUUGGAAAAGAGGUUACCCUCUGAGAAUUAAACUAGUAAAAUACA
This is a long non-coding RNA of Felis catus (domestic cat), 4409 nucleotides long. RefSeq lists it as uncharacterized. NCBI's taxonomy places the organism in Eukaryota, Metazoa, Chordata, Mammalia, Carnivora, Felidae. The transcript has 2 exons. The record is from RefSeq and is a predicted model, not a curated record.